AUUGAACGCUGGCGGUAUGCUUAACACAUGCAAGUCGAACGGUAACAGGCCUUCGGGCGCUGACGAGUGGCGGACGGGUGAGUAACGCGUAGGAAUCUGCCUCAUAGUGGGGGACAACGUGGGGAAACUCACGCUAAUACCGCAUACGCCCUACGGGGGAAAGCGGGGGAGUCUUCGGACCUCGCGCUAUGAGAUGAGCCUGCGUUAGAUUAGCUAGUUGGUAGGGUAAAGGCCUACCAAGGCGACGAUCUAUAGCUGGUCUGAGAGGACGAUCAGCCACACUGGGACUGAGACACGGCCCAGACUCCUACGGGAGGCAGCAGUGGGGAAUAUUGGACAAUGGGCGCAAGCCUGAUCCAGCAAUACCGCGUGUGUGAAGAAGGCCUUAGGGUUGUAAAGCACUUUCAAUUGGGAGGAAAACCUGCGGUCAAUACCGCAGCUUGACAUUACCUUUAGAAGAAGACACCGGCUAACUCCGUGCCAGCAGCCGCGGUAAU
Molecule: ribosomal RNA, 497 nt
Filed under: uncultured bacterium
Lineage: Bacteria
Description: bacterial SSU rRNA
Rfam family: Bacterial small subunit ribosomal RNA
Source: RNAcentral